Dromiciops gliroides (monito del monte) is the source of this 366-nucleotide non-coding RNA. Lineage: Eukaryota; Metazoa; Chordata; Mammalia; Microbiotheria; Microbiotheriidae. The record is from the annotation of a RefSeq genome assembly.
AUGACACAACUGAGUCUGCUAUGGACAAUCAUGUUCUCUACCUUCUUAGGAAUCAGCACAGCCCAGAAGGUCACUCAACUGCAACCAGCAAUGUCUGGAGUGGAAGGAGAGGCUGUGACUCUCAGCUGCAAGUAUGAGACUAGUGACAGUAAUUAUGCUUUGUUUUGGUACAAACAACCUUCCAGUGGGGAGCUGAUUUUACUAAUUCAUCAGGGAGUUUAUAACCAAAAGAAUGCAAAGAUGGAUCGCUAUUCAGUGAACUUCCAGAAAUCAAACAAAUCCAUCAGUUUCACCAUCUCAGCCUUACAGCUGGGAGACUCAGCAAUAUAUUUCUGUGCUUACAUGAGCCCACAGAGGGUGGAGUGA